This 600-nucleotide unclassified non-coding RNA is filed under the name Tobacco bushy top virus satellite-like RNA. The record is from RNAcentral.
UGUUGGCCGUGGGCAGCAACCCGUGGAUCGCUGAUAAGAUCGUCUAGUGGAUGGGGACCUAAAGACCCCCACUGGCUCUCUCUCUUCUGUCAGAGCGGCUUGGUAGGCCGCCAGAGUGGACCGCUCGAGCGUAAUGAAGACCUGUAAGCGGUCCGCUCUGGAGCCUUCAGGGUCCAUGUCCUUCACCCUUAGUUGGAGACUGUGGGUGCUUGGUGUGGUCCUGUGGGUGGCCCGCCAUGAAGCUCCGGUACUCAACCCUUUAGCCCUGUCCGUUGAUACUUGUGGACCUCGCAGGUACCACUCGAACGAAUCGGAUAUACAGGGAGUGCCUAGGGGAUGGACCAGCUUUGAACUGGGCAUCAACGGCAUCGGCUAGACACAGGACAGCAACCGGCGGAAGAUACUAACGCCUCGCCUCCUGUGGCUCUGUGAAAGCAGACACUGUUCGACCCACCUCAGUCACCGAGUACCUGGAUUAAGGGGAAAGGAGGGGGUUGAUUGCCGCGUCCCCGGCUGGCGUAAUGCGAGCCCCGCGGUAGGAGUAAUAGCGCAGUGGUUAGAAAAGUUGUGCGGGGCCAACGCGACGGAGCCAAAUACGAA